AACUCUCAACGGCGGAUCUCUUGGCUCGCGCAUCGAUGAAGAACGGGGCCAGCUGCGAUACGCGGUGUGAAUUGCAGAACUCGGUGAAUCAUCGAAUCUUCGAACGUAAAUGGUGCUCCCAGCACG
Molecule: ribosomal RNA, 126 nt
Filed under: Condylactis gigantea (giant Caribbean anemone)
Lineage: Eukaryota; Metazoa; Cnidaria; Anthozoa; Actiniaria; Actiniidae
Description: 5.8S ribosomal RNA
Rfam family: 5.8S ribosomal RNA
About the family: 5.8S ribosomal RNA (5.8S rRNA) is a component of the large subunit of the eukaryotic ribosome.
Source: RNAcentral